GGGUUGUGAGGUUAAGCGACUAAGCGUACACGGUGGAUGCCCUGGCAGUCAGAGGCGAUGAAGGACGUGCUAAUCUGCGAAAAGCGUCGGUAAGGUGAUAUGAACCGUUAUAACCGGCGAUGUCCGAAUGGGGAAACCCAGUGCAAUUCGUUGCACUAUCGUUAACUGAAUACAUAGGUUAACGAGGCGAACCGGGGGAACUGAAACAUCUAAGUACCCCGAGGAAAAGAAAUCAACCGAGAUUCCCCCAGUAGCGGCGAGCGAACGGGGAGCAGCCCAGAGUCUGAAUCAGCUUGUGUGUUAGUGGAACGGUCUGGAAAGUCCGACGGUACAGGGUGAUAGUCCCGUACACCAAAAUGCACAGGCUGUGAACUCGAAGAGUAGGGCGGGACACGUGGUAUCCUGUCUGAAUAUGGGGGGACCAUCCUCCAAGGCUAAAUACUCCUGACUGACCGAUAGUGAACCAGUACCGUGAGGGAAAGGCGAAAAGAACCCCGGCGAGGGGAGUGAAAAAGAACCUGAAACCGUGUACGUACAAGCAGUGGGAGCACCUUCGGGUGUGACUGCGUACCUUUUGUAUAAUGGGUCAGCGACUUAUAUUCUGUAGCAAGGUUAACCGUAUAGGGGAGCCGCAGGGAAACCGAGUCUUAACUGGGCGUUAAGUUGCAGGGUAUAGACCCGAAACCCGGUGAUCUAGCCAUGGGCAGGUUGAAGGUUGGGUAACACUAACUGGAGGACCGAACCGACUAAUGUUGAAAAAUUAGCGGAUGACUUGUGGCUGGGGGUGAAAGGCCAAUCAAACCGGGAGAUAGCUGGUUCUCCCCGAAAGCUAUUUAGGUAGCGCCUCGUGAACUCAUCUUCGGGGGUAGAGCACUGUUUCGGCUAGGGGGUCAUCCCGACUUACCAACCCGAUGCAAACUACGAAUACCGAAGAAUGUUAUCACGGGAGACACACGGCGGGUGCUAACGUCCGUCGUGAAGAGGGAAACAACCCAGACCGCCAGCUAAGGUCCCAAAGUCAUGGUUAAGUGGGAAACGAUGUGGGAAGGCACAGACAGCCAGGAUGUUGGCUUAGAAGCAGCCAUCAUUUAAAGAAAGCGUAAUAGCUCACUGGUCGAGUCGGCCUGCGCGGAAGAUGUAACGGGGCUAAACCAUGCACCGAAGCUGCGGCAGCGACACUAUGUGUUGUUGGGUAGGGGAGCGUUCUGUAAGCCUGCGAAGGUGACCUGUGAGGGUUGCUGGAGGUAUCAGAAGUGCGAAUGCUGACAUAAGUAACGAUAAAGCGGGUGAAAAGCCCGCUCGCCGGAAGACCAAGGGUUCCUGUCCAACGUUAAUCGGGGCAGGGUGAGUCGACCCCUAAGGCGAGGCCGAAAGGCGUAGUCGAUGGGAAACAGGUUAAUAUUCCUGUACUUGGUGUUACUGCGAAGGGGGGACGGAGAAGGCUAUGUUAGCCGGGCGACGGUUGUCCCGGUUUAAGCAUGUAGGCUGAUUGUCCAGGCAAAUCCGGAUAAUCAAGGCUGAGGUGUGAUGACGAGGCACUACGGUGCUGAAGUAACAAAUGCCCUGCUUCCAGGAAAAGCCUCUAAGCAUCAGGUAACAUUAAAUCGUACCCCAAACCGACACAGGUGGUCAGGUAGAGAAUACCAAGGCGCUUGAGAGAACUCGGGUGAAGGAACUAGGCAAAAUGGUGCCGUAACUUCGGGAGAAGGCACGCUGGUGUGUAGGUGAAGUCCCUGCGGAUGGAGCUGAGACCAGUCGAAGAUACCAGCUGGCUGCAACUGUUUAUUAAAAACACAGCACUGUGCAAACACGAAAGUGGACGUAUACGGUGUGACGCCUGCCCGGUGCCGGAAGGUUAAUUGAUGGGGUUAUCCGUAAGGAGAAGCUCUUGAUCGAAGCCCCGGUAAACGGCGGCCGUAACUAUAACGGUCCUAAGGUAGCGAAAUUCCUUGUCGGGUAAGUUCCGACCUGCACGAAUGGCGUAAUGAUGGCCAGGCUGUCUCCACCCGAGACUCAGUGAAAUUGAACUCGCUGUGAAGAUGCAGUGUACCCGCGGCAAGACGGAAAGACCCCGUGAACCUUUACUAUAGCUUGACACUGAACAUUGAGCCUUGAUGUGUAGGAUAGGUGGGAGGCUUUGAAGCGUGGACGCCAGUCUGCGUGGAGCCAACCUUGAAAUACCACCCUUUAAUGUUUGAUGUUCUAACGUUGGCCCCUGACCGGGGUUGCGGACAGUGUCUGGUGGGUAGUUUGACUGGGGCGGUCUCCUCCCAAAGCGUAACGGAGGAGCACGAAGGUUAGCUAAUCCUGGUCGGACAUCAGGAGGUUAGUGCAAUGGCAUAAGCUAGCUUGACUGCGAGCGUGACGGCGCGAGCAGGUGCGAAAGCAGGUCAUAGUGAUCCGGUGGUUCUGAAUGGAAGGGCCAUCGCUCAACGGAUAAAAGGUACUCCGGGGAUAACAGGCUGAUACCGCCCAAGAGUUCAUAUCGACGGCGGUGUUUGGCACCUCGAUGUCGGCUCAUCACAUCCUGGGGCUGAAGUAGGUCCCAAGGGUAUGGCUGUUCGCCAUUUAAAGUGGUACGCGAGCUGGGUUUAGAACGUCGUGAGACAGUUCGGUCCCUAUCUGCCGUGGGCGCUGGAGAAUUGAGGGGGGCUGCUCCUAGUACGAGAGGACCGGAGUGGACGCAUCACUGGUGUUCGGGUUGUCAUGCCAAUGGCACUGCCCGGUAGCUAAAUGCGGAAGAGAUAAGUGCUGAAAGCAUCUAAGCACGAAACUUGCCCCGAGAUGAGUUCUCCCUGAGACUAUAAGUCUCCUGAAGGAACGUUAAAGACGAUGACGUUGAUAGGCCGGGUGUGUAAGCGCAGCGAUGCGUUGAGCUAACCGGUACUAAUGAACCGUGAGGCUUAACCUUACAACGCCGAAG
RNAcentral lists this ribosomal RNA (2923 nucleotides) under Klebsiella pneumoniae. RNAcentral's name for it is "bacterial LSU rRNA". It matches the Rfam family "Bacterial large subunit ribosomal RNA". The record is from RNAcentral. Lineage: Bacteria; Pseudomonadati; Pseudomonadota; Gammaproteobacteria; Enterobacterales; Enterobacteriaceae.